GCCUGGGUGACAGAGUCCAGCCUGGGUGACAGAGUGAGACCCUGUCUCAUAAUAAAAAAAAAUUUUUUAAAGGCCAAGUGGGAUGCCAAAUGAUCCAAAAUGAGGGUGAUUUGCAGGCUCUGUCAAAUCAUCUCUAGUCUUCAGAAUGUCAUGAUUCUGGCUGUCUUGGAAAGAAGUAAAACAAUGAGAGAUAACAUUAGUGAUUUGACAAUCAAAAGAGAAUUUUUGUGUCAGAAUGAAAAAAAAAAAAAGGAAUUUCACUAAGGAACCAACUAAAACAUCAUGAAGAAAAUUACAACCCAGUUCUUCUUUGGAGACUUACUGUAGCCAAGAAAUAAUUCAGGAUCAGGAGUUAGCCCAAAUUCUAGUCAAAUAAUAAAGCUUAAAAACAAAGGUCAGGGCUGGAAUCUAGUAUAAACAGGUGUGGUACAGUUUUCCUUUGAAACAUAAUUUUUAGCUCUCUCUAGUCCCCCUUUUCUACUAAAGAGAAAGUAUAGUAAGAUCGAUCUGUGUGCAAAAUUAGUUUUAGCCUUAUUGUACUUCACCUGAUUAUUUGCACAAAGUGCAGCAAGAAUUGUUUGACCAUAUAGGCUUUGCUGGAACUUUACCUGAAAAUUUGUUAGUCUAAUCAAAGCCUUGGUAAAAUAAUCAAUGUCUCCAAUUGUGCCCUAUUAACAAAAAAAAAAAAAAAAGGAAACAUUCUUAUUCAUCAUAUACAAAUAUAACUAUAUUGCCAUAACAUAAGAAUACUCAUGAAUAGUUUCCAAAUUUUAGAGAACUCAGGGAGAAAGAAAGGUAAAUUUGGGUCACAAAAGUGUAGUUUACAAUCAGAGUUGCUGCCUUCCAAACAAGUAUGUUUGUUCACUGUUGGGAGAAAAGCUGAGUGUUGGGAGAGAAGCUGAGGCAGGGCUUGGAACAUGUCCAGGGUAAAACCCCUUGUGGCCUUUGGAAUGUGUCCAGACUUGCUGGCUCCUUGCUUCUAGUACUCCCAUGAUCUCAAGUAGCCAUAUGUUUCAAAGAAAAUGCUAAACCGUCACAGUUGUAGCUCAUUCACCUGAUACACUGCUUCCUUUCAACCCCCACAUCCUCACCACUUGUUUCUUUGUUUGAUCACCAAUAAAUAGUGUGGGCUCCCAGAGCUCAGGGCCUUCACAGCCUCCAUACUAGUAUUGGCCCCCUGGUCCUACUUUCUCUGUUAACUUGUCUUUUCUCAUUCCUUUGACUCCGCUGGACUUCAUAGCCCCCACAGCCUGGUGUUGGGUCCAAUCACCCCAACAUUCCUGGUGCCCAACGUGGGGUGACGAAGACCCCAGGGAAGAAACACUAGGAUGUGUGAAAGUGGAGGACGCAUCAUCAGAGGGCACCUGAGGACGACUGAAAGAAGCUCGGCAGAAAAGCUGAGCGCUCUGAAGAACUAGGGUCCCACUCCAGGAGGCUUUUCAUACAGAAGAUGAGUGGACACCAACUGGAGACACUGGAGCAAGGGCCCCACAGUGUGACAUUUGGUUGUCUCUUGAUGGGGGAGGGAAAGUGUGCUUUUGGGUACAAGUAUGGGAUAGGUGGAUCCUAUCAUGUGGAGGAUAUUGCUUCUCGACCUUUUGGCUAAGAUCAAGUGUAGUAUCAUGAGGAGGCUUCUUUGAAAUUGUGGGUUUCCACUUAUGUAAUCAGUGGUGCCAUUAUAUGCCUAGCACCAAGGUAUGUAAAUGUUGCAUUAAAACCUUCUUGAGGUGGCC
Molecule: non-coding RNA, 1733 nt
Organism: Macaca mulatta (Rhesus monkey)
Lineage: Eukaryota; Metazoa; Chordata; Mammalia; Primates; Cercopithecidae
Source: RefSeq, a predicted model, not a curated record